CUUUUCCCGUGUCCCUAGAAGAGAGGAAAUACCCAGCCCCAUCCCGAACCUGGAAGUCAAGCUCUCUUACGCCGAUGAUACUGCGCUUUUCAAGUGUGGGAAAGUAGGGUGAUGCGGGGGGUU
Molecule: ribosomal RNA, 123 nt
Filed under: Helicobacter heilmannii
Lineage: Bacteria; Pseudomonadati; Campylobacterota; Epsilonproteobacteria; Campylobacterales; Helicobacteraceae
Source: RNAcentral